This is a long non-coding RNA of Magnolia sinica, 825 nucleotides long. RefSeq lists it as uncharacterized. The transcript has 2 exons. The record is from RefSeq and is a predicted model, not a curated record. Lineage: Eukaryota; Viridiplantae; Streptophyta; Magnoliopsida; Magnoliales; Magnoliaceae.
AAUUUAGCUUUUCCACCCUGAGAGAGCAAAAAGGAAAGACGAGAAUCCCUGAACACUGUCAUGAUUUGCAUCCAUAUACGUGUUCUUAGUUACCAAUAUCAUGACAUGAGAUUACCUUAUAGGUGCAUGUUGAUGGGAAAUGGAUGAUUGAUGAGCUUUUAAUUUUCCAUUUAUAUAUUUUUCAGAUUUUUUUUUUGUUUGGUAAUUUAAGAAAAUAAAAAAUCUUACAAUUGGUGUAGGGAAAUUGGUCAAGCCAAGCAUGUUAUGUGUUGAACCAACAAACAUUUGCUGGAAUUCCAAUCAUAUCAUAAUGCUUUCUUUAAGUCCUAACUGUAGUGAUUGCAACAUGGUUUGAGGAAAUGCUCGUAUCUUUCCCUUAAAAGACCUUUUUUUUUUAGUAUUGAUAUAAAAUGUUUCAUUUUUAAAUUAAUCCAUUAUACUUUAUUUUCAUCAAACAGAAUGUAAGUAUAGAUUUGGGGCUUUGUAGGGGACCUCUAUCCUGUUUGUUCUUGAAUUUAGGGGUACAUAAUCAAGCAUUCAUGCACACUAUGGCAAUGGAAGUACAUGGUAGUAUUUUGCUCGUGUCCCAAGACUAGAAAUAUAAAAUAUCCUUUAUCCACACAUUAGAAAUCCAGAAUCUGUUUGAUUGGAGACCUUUUCCUCCUUCAAACCAUCUCUAUUGUAUGCAUUGGCCAUCUCCUUGGAAGAAAUCAAGGAAUCUACGUCUAAUAUGUAGCCAUUGUCCUCUGUGAAUUCUCUCAUGUAAUCAUGUCUACUUUAUAAUUGUAUGUGUAUAAUGAGAGAAGCACUUGGUCGUUUGUGAAA